GGGAUUGUGGCUCAGUGGUAGAGCUCUUGCCUAGCAUGUGUGAGGCCCUGGGUUCGAUUCUCAGCACCA
Molecule: transfer RNA, 69 nt
Filed under: Ictidomys tridecemlineatus (thirteen-lined ground squirrel)
Lineage: Eukaryota; Metazoa; Chordata; Mammalia; Rodentia; Sciuridae
Description: Spermophilus tridecemlineatus (thirteen-lined ground squirrel) tRNA
Rfam family: tRNA
About the family: Transfer RNA (tRNA) molecules are approximately 80 nucleotides in length.
Source: Rfam by way of RNAcentral